UAUACAUGCAAGUCGAGCGGACAGAAGGGAGCUUGCUCCCGGAUGUUAGCGGCGGACGGGUGAGUAACACGUGGGUAACCUGCCUGUAAGACUGGGAUAACUCCGGGAAACCGGAGCUAAUACCGGAUAGUUCCUUGAACCGCAUGGUUCAAGGAUGAAAGACGGUUUCGGCUGUCACUUACAGAUGGACCCGCGGCGCAUUAGCUAGUUGGUGAGGUAACGGCUCACCAAGGCGACGAUGCGUAGCCGACCUGAGAGGGUGAUCGGCCACACUGGGACUGAGACACGGCCCAGACUCCUACGGGAGGCAGCAGUAGGGAAUCUUCCGCAAUGGACGAAAGUCUGACGGAGCAACGCCGCGUGAGUGAUGAAGGUUUUCGGAUCGUAAAGCUCUGUUGUUAGGGAAGAACAAGUGCAUGCUCCACUGCUUGCACCGUGACGGUACCUAACCAUUAAGCCACGGCUAACUACGUGCCAGCACCCGCGGGAAUACUUAGGGGGCAAGCUGCGUCCCUAAUGGAGCGAACAGGAUUAGAUACCUGGUAGUUCACGCCGUAAACGAUGAGUGCUUAGUGUUAGGGGGUUUCCGCCCCUUAGUGCUGCAGCUAACGCACUAAAGCACUCUCCCCUGGGGAGUACGGUCGCAAGACUGAAACUCAAAGGAAUUGACGGGGGCCCGCACAAGCGGUGGAGCAUGUGGUUUAAUUCGAAGCAACGCGAAGAAACCUUAUCAGGUCUUUGACAUAUCUCUGACAAACCCUAUAGAUAUUCGGACAGGUGGUGCAUGUUUGUCUUCAGCUCGUGUCGUGAGAUGUUGGGUUAAUGUCCGCGCAACGAGCGCAACCUUAUAUCUUAGUUGCCAGCAUUCAGUUGGGCACUCUAAGGUGACUGCCGGUGACAAACCGGAGGAAGGUGGGGAUGACGUCAAAUCAUCAUGCCCCUUAUGACCUGGGCUACACACGUGCUACAAUGGACAGAACAAAGGGCUGCGAGACCGCAAGGUUUAGCCAAUCCCACAAAUCUGUUCUCAGUUCGGAUCGCAGUCUGCAACUCGACUGCGUGAAGCUGGAAUCGCUAGUAAUCGCGGAUCAGCAUGCCGC
RNAcentral lists this ribosomal RNA (1100 nucleotides) under Bacillus sp. JSCTot9-3. RNAcentral's name for it is "bacterial SSU rRNA". It matches the Rfam family "Bacterial small subunit ribosomal RNA", at positions 50 to 1360 of the family's 1533-position model. Lineage: Bacteria; Bacillati; Bacillota; Bacilli; Caryophanales; Bacillaceae. The record is from RNAcentral.